Molecule: ribosomal RNA, 433 nt
Filed under: uncultured bacterium
Lineage: Bacteria
Description: partial 16S ribosomal RNA
Rfam family: Bacterial small subunit ribosomal RNA
Source: RNAcentral
AACGAACGCUGGCGGCAUGCCUAACACAUGCAAGUCGAACGAGACCUUCGGGUCUAGUGGCGCACGGGUGCGUAACGCGUGGGAACCUGCCCUUAGGUUCGGAAUAACUCCCCGAAAGGGGUGCUAAUACCGGAUAAUGUCUUCGGACCAAAGAUUUAUCGCCUUUGGUUGGGCCCGCGUUGGAUUAGCUAGUUGGUAGGGUAAAAGCCUACCAAGGCGACGAUCCAUAGCUGGUCUGAGAGGAUGAUCAGCCACACUGGGACUAAGACACGGCCCAGACUCCUACGGGAGGCAGCAGUGGGGAAUAUUGGACAAUGGGCGAAAGCAUGAUCCAGCAAUGCCGCGUGAGUGAUGAAGGCCUUAGGGUUGUAAAGCUCUUUUAACCGGGAUGAUAAUGACAGUACCGGGAGAAUAAGCUCCGGCUAACUCCGUG